ACACGGCGAGACCGCGGACGGCUCAUUAAAUCAGUCGUGGUCCAUAUGGGCUAGAGUUAAACCUACUUGGAUAACUGUGGUAAUUCCAGAGCUAAUACAUGCUACUCUUAUCCUGAGGUUGCGCGGCUCUCGGGUCGUUGCGCUGACGGAUGCUUUUAUUAGACCAAACCGCUGGGUGCUUGUGCUUUCCCUCGGGAUCGUGCUGGCAUUGACCCGUUGAAUGGUGACUCUGGAUAACCUUUUUGACAAGCGCACGUACUCUUUUUGGGACGGCGCUGCCACUUUCGAGUGUCUGCCUUAUCAGCUAUCAACCGUUCGUUAUGCGCGCACGAUGGCUUUGACGGGUAACGGGGAAUCAGAGUUCGAUUCCGGAGAGGCAGCCUGAGAGACGGCUACCACGUCCAAGGACGGCAGCAGGCACGCAAAUUACCCAAUCCCAGCAUCUGGGGGAGGUAGUGACGAAAUAUAACAAUGCGGGCGCCCUUUUUGGGGCCCCGCAAUUGGAAUGGCCACUUUCUAAACAACCUGUCGAGAACCUACUGAAGGGCAAGUCUGGUGCCAGCAGCCGCGGUAAUUCCAGCUU
Molecule: ribosomal RNA, 583 nt
Filed under: Abyssorchomene sp. HR-2017
Lineage: Eukaryota; Metazoa; Arthropoda; Malacostraca; Amphipoda; Lysianassidae
Description: bacterial SSU rRNA
Rfam family: Eukaryotic small subunit ribosomal RNA
Source: RNAcentral